This 440-nucleotide ribosomal RNA is filed under the name uncultured bacterium. RNAcentral's name for it is "partial 16S ribosomal RNA". It matches the Rfam family "Bacterial small subunit ribosomal RNA", at positions 338 to 795 of the family's 1533-position model. The record is from RNAcentral.
CCUACGGGGGGCAGCAGUGGGGAAUAUUGCACAAUGGGGGAAACCCUGAUGCAGCGACGCCGCGUGAGCGAUGAAGUAUUUCGGUAUGUAAAGCUCUAUCAGCAGGGAAGAAAAUGAAGGUACCUGACUCAGAAGCCCCGGCUAACUAUGUGCCAGCAGCCGCGGGAAUACGUAGGGGGCAAGCGUGAUCCGGAUUGACUGGGUUUAGAGGGAGCGUAGACGGCUUGGCAAGCCAGAUGUGAAAGGCUGGGGCUCAACCCCAGGACUGCAUUUGGAAAUGGCAGGCUAAGGUGACGGAGAGGCAGGCGGAAUUCCUAGGGUAGCGGUGAAAUGCGUAGAUAUUAGGAGGAACACCAGUGGCGAAGGCGGGCUGCUGGACGAUGACUGACGUUGAGGCUCGAAAGCGUGGGGAGCAAACAGGAUUAGAUACCCUAGUAGUC